Molecule: long non-coding RNA, 2764 nt
Organism: Anthonomus grandis grandis
Lineage: Eukaryota; Metazoa; Arthropoda; Insecta; Coleoptera; Curculionidae
Exons: 4
Source: RefSeq, a predicted model, not a curated record
CCGACAAGUGACAACUGUGUUUUAUUUAUUGUAUCGUGGGGUUUUAGGUUAUUACUGUUAUUGUUAUUUAUUUUAUUACAAAACUUCUGGCAAUUGCCGAGUAGCAGUUAGCAGUGCCAUCAAACCAGCAAGCAAGCAGCAGUAUUACAAAACUUUUAAUUCAUAAUUUUUCUGUGCUUGGUGGAUAUUUUUAUAAUGCGGUGUGCUGUAGGGGGAUGUAAUUCAGACAACCAGUCUAAGAAAAACACCUUUAGAUAAAAAUGUCAAAUUUCAUCGCUUCCUAAAAAACCCUGAUUGGUGCAAACAAUGGUUACAUGCUACAAAAAGAAAAGACAAAUUUAAUGUUAAGUCGGCUGCUGUGUGCUCUAAACAUUUUUUAGAUAGUGACUACAAGAUUAAUUUAAAACACAAGCUCUUAAACUACACUCCAAAAUGCUACCGUGGCCUAAAAGAUGAUGCUGUGCCAACCCAAAAUUUAAAUCAAUUUAGAAUAGCUUCAGUGCCUUCAAAAAGUCAGCUUAAUCGUCAAAUUUUCAAUGAAAAAAGGCUAAAAGCUCAGUUUAUUAACAAUAUCCUUGCGGAACCAGGAAAUAUGUCAGUCUUUUGUAGAUUUUUUUCCUUAAGUAAAUUUAACAUAAUGGAUUUAAUGGUGAUGGUUCAGGUGAUGGAGGUACUAAUAAUGAAAAUUAAUUGAUGAAAGCUAAUAGUUUGUCUCACAAAGGGUAAUAUUUAAAAUUUUUAUAUCGAGUUUAAUAUAGUAUGUCAGACCAAAAGAAAAAUUAAUAUGGCUAUUUAAAUAAACUGCUCGUCAUAAUGGGGGGACCUACUUUUUUGGAGUGUUCCCCUCAUUAUCACAAGCAGUUUAUAUACAUAACUUGUAUUUUAGAGUUCAAACUGACCAGGAAAGAAAUUUAAUAGAACAACUGCAAAAAGAAAUAGAAAGCCAGAGAAAGGAAAUUGGAAAGCUGGAGUCAAGAAAAUUUUCUCUAAAAAUCAGAUAAAUAAACUUAGGAAAAAAGGAUAAAAUGGUCAGUUAGUGAAAUUUCAAAUGCCAUUGCAGUGUAUUCUGCAGGUGCUCGACCAUAUCGACUCAGCCUAAAGAAUGACUACCAAUAUCCGGCUGUCUCUACUCUAAAAGAAUGGGUAUCAAAGAUAAAGUUGGAGCCUGGUAUUUUAAAAAAAUAUUUUUAAAAUUGCUGCAUAUGCUGAUAUGUCUGAACGUGAUCGCAUAUGCAUUCUAAUGUUUGAUGAAAUGAAAAUUCGUCCGGAAUAUGUUUAUGACCAAUCCAGAGAUUAUCUAAUGCCUGCAUUUAGUUACGUCCAAGUUGUCAUGAUCUCUGGUCUGUUUAAGGCAUGGAAGCAGCCUAUUUUUUUUAGAUUGUGGAUUUCUUGUCGUUGCAAUGGUAUCAGAUUUAGGUGUUAAGAUUAGAUAAGAUUAAGAUUUAGGGUUAAAUGUUCCACAUCUGCUAAAACUAAUCCGGAAUAAUUUUGUGGACUCGGGAUUUUUAGUUAAUGGAAAUUUCAUUAACAAAGAUAUUGUGGAAAAAGCCAUAAAUGUUACAAACCUGUCAGAUUUAAAAAUCACAUAUAAAAUUACACUAGAAAAUUUAAACUGUGUAAGACAAAAAGUGAAGCAUGCCUCAAAACUAUUUUCUCAUACCAUAUCCUGUGCUAUUUCAAGAUGUGGGACACUAGGAUAUUUGUCAGAGAAAAAUUGGGUAGAAGGCUCCGAGUUUUUUAAACUGGUUAAUGACUGGUUUGAUAUUUUUAAUACGAGCAUGACAGUUACUGACUGACAUUCAAGAAAUAAAGCAUUUGGGUUAGCUCUGGACGUUCAAAUGUCCAUUUUAACAAAGAUGAACAAAGUGAUUUCCGAGAUGAAGGUAGUUAAUAGUAAAUGCUAACUGCCAUUUCAAAAAGGUAUUCUCAUCAGUAAUUUAGCAUUGCCACAGUUGCACGCUGACCUACACCGUCGUUUUGGCAUUCAUUACCUGUUAACUAGGCAAAUAAAUCAAGAUGUUUUGGAGAAUUUCUUGGGGUCAUAAGAUCAAAAGGGGGACUAUACGACCAUCUUACCUCAUUAGAAUUUAAAUAUAGGUUAAGGACGUAUGUUUUGGGUAGGAAUGAGGGGGCAUAUUCGGACUAUUUAAAUGUUGAAGUUGACGAUACCCCGGAUAUUCCUCUCAGUGGAUCACUUACCCAGAAACUUAAGCCUUCACUUGAUCCUCCACCAAGCAAUGUAGAGGAUAAUCUUGAAGAAUUAAAUGAAUUGGCCUACGAUGGGUUAGAGAAUUUAGCAGGAUUUAUAUGCCAUAGAUUAAAGAAUCCAUCUUUGCAAAGCACUUCAACGCAAUCAUUUUCGUGGGUCAACCAUUUGGAUGAAGGUUAUUUAUCGAAACCUUCUCCCCUAUUUGUAAAUUCUAUUGAGGAACUAAACAGAGUAUUUACUGAAAUAAAUAGCGAUGGAGAUAUAAAGACUGGUCCCAACUUUAUUAAAACCCUUAUAACGAGAAGCGAGUCAAUUGAAUGUCCUGAGAAAGCCAAACGUCUUUUUUUUAGAGUUAGGAUGUUUUUUCGCAUCAGAGAACUUAAUAAAUCAAUUAAAAAGAACAAAAAUGGGAAUGCGAGCAAAAGGAAAUGGACGAAAAUCUUAUCGUAGCUUUUUUAUAAUAAUUAUGUAGAAACUGUAAAAUUAAAUUUUUUUUUUGUUUUAAAAUAUUUUGUAAUUAUACACAUACUUAUUAAUAAAUCGAGCAAAAAUUUA